Molecule: ribosomal RNA, 897 nt
Filed under: Enterococcus faecium
Lineage: Bacteria; Bacillati; Bacillota; Bacilli; Lactobacillales; Enterococcaceae
Description: bacterial SSU rRNA
Rfam family: Bacterial small subunit ribosomal RNA
Source: RNAcentral
UGCAGUCGACGCUUCUUUUUCCACCGGAGCUUGCUCCACCGGAAAAAGAGGAGUGGCGAACGGGUGAGUAACACGUGGGUAACCUGCCCAUCAGAAGGGGAUAACACUUGGAAACAGGUGCUAAUACCGUAUAACAAUCAAAACCGCAUGGUUUUGAUUUGAAAGGCGCUUUCGGGUGUCGCUGAUGGAUGGACCCGCGGUGCAUUAGCUAGUUGGUGAGGUAACGGCUCACCAAGGCCACGAUGCAUAGCCGACCUGAGAGGGUGAUCGGCCACAUUGGGACUGAGACACGGCCCAAACUCCUACGGGAGGCAGCAGUAGGGAAUCUUCGGCAAUGGACGAAAGUCUGACCGAGCAACGCCGCGUGAGUGAAGAAGGUUUUCGGAUCGUAAAACUCUGUUGUUAGAGAAGAACAAGGAUGAGAGUAACUGUUCAUCCCUUGACGGUAUCUAACCAGAAAGCCACGGCUAACUACGUGCCAGCAGCCGCGGUAAUACGUAGGUGGCAAGCGUUGUCCGGAUUUAUUGGGCGUAAAGCGAGCGCAGGCGGUUUCUUAAGUCUGAUGUGAAAGCCCCCGGCUCAACCGGGGAGGGUCAUUGGAAACUGGGAGACUUGAGUGCAGAAGAGGAGAGUGGAAUUCCAUGUGUAGCGGUGAAAUGCGUAGAUAUAUGGAGGAACACCAGUGGCGAAGGCGGCUCUCUGGUCUGUAACUGACGCUGAGGCUCGAAAGCGUGCGGAGCAAACAGGAUUAGAUACCCUGGUAGUCCACGCCGUANACGAUGAGUGCUAAGUGUUGGAGGGUUUCCGCCCUUCAGUGCUGCAGCUAACGCAUUAAGCACUCCGCCUGGGGAGNNCGACCGCAAGGUUGAAUCUCAAAGGAAUUGACGUGGUCCGCAC